GAUGAACGCUAGCUACAGGCUUAACACAUGCAAGUCGAGGGGCAGCAUGAAAGGAACUUCGGUUCUUUUUGAUGGCGACCGGCGCACGGGUGCGUAACGCGUAUCGAACCUGCCUCAUACUCGGGGAUAGCCUUGCGAAAGUAAGAUUAAUACCCGGCGGUCUCGGAUGGCCGCAUGACUAUCCGAGUGAAGAUUUAUCGGUAUGAGAUGGCGAUGCGUCCCAUUAGCUAGUUGGUGAGGUAAUGGCUCACCAAGGCAUCGAUGGGUAGGGGUUCUGAGAGGAAGGUCCCCCACAUUGGAACUGAGACACGGUCCAAACUCCUACGGGAGGCAGCAGUGAGGAAUAUUGGUCAAUGGGCGGAAGCCUGAACCAGCCAAGUAGCGUGCAGGACGACGGCCCUAUGGGUUGUAAACUGCUUUCAGUCGGGAAUAAUUCGUCGGUCGUGACCGACGUUGCAGGUACCGUCAUAAGAAGGACCGGCUAAUUCCGUGCCAGCAGCCGCGGUAAUACGGAAGAUGCGAGCGUUAUCCGGAAUUAUUGGGUUUAAAGGGUGCGUAGGCUGUUUGUUAAGUCAGGGGUGAAAUACCGCAGCUCAACUGUGGAAUUGCCUUUGAUACUAGCAGGCUUGAAUACUGUUGCCGUGGGAGGAAUGAGUAGUGUAGCGGUGAAAUGCAUAGAUAUUACUCAGAACACCGAUUGCGAAGGCAUCUCACGAAGCAGGCAUUGACGCUGAGGCACGAAAGCGUGGGGAUCAAACAGG
This 761-nucleotide ribosomal RNA is filed under the name uncultured bacterium. Its description in RNAcentral is "bacterial SSU rRNA". It matches the Rfam family "Bacterial small subunit ribosomal RNA", at positions 28 to 776 of the family's 1533-position model. The record is from RNAcentral.